RNAcentral lists this ribosomal RNA (251 nucleotides) under uncultured prokaryote. Its description in RNAcentral is "partial 16S ribosomal RNA". It matches the Rfam family "Bacterial small subunit ribosomal RNA", at positions 525 to 775 of the family's 1533-position model. The record is from RNAcentral.
ACGUAGGGUGCGAGCGUUAAUCGGAAUUACUGGGCGUAAAGCGUGCGCAGGCGGUUUCGUAAGACAGAUGUGAAAUCCCCGGGCUUAACCUGGGAACUGCACUUGUGACUGCAUGACUAGAGUGCGUCAGAGGGAGGUGGAAUUCCGCGUGUAGCAGUGAAAUGCGUAGAGACGCGGAGGAACACCGAUGGCGAAGGCAGCCUCCUGGGUUGACACUGACGCUCAUGCACGAAAGCGUGGGGAGCAAACAG